Molecule: ribosomal RNA, 253 nt
Filed under: uncultured bacterium
Lineage: Bacteria
Description: partial 16S ribosomal RNA
Rfam family: Bacterial small subunit ribosomal RNA
Source: RNAcentral
UACAGAGGUGGCAAGCGUUGCUCGGUAUCACUGGGCUUAAAGGGCGCGUAGGCGGUGCGGUGCGGUUUCGGUGAAAUCCCUCGGCCCAACCGAGGAACAGCCGGGGCUACGGCCGCGCUAGACGGCAUCAGGGGACAGUGGAACUCCCGGUGGAGCGGUGAAAUGCGUAGAGCUCGGGAAGAACAUCGGUGGCGAAAGCGCUCUGCUGGACUGCAACUGACACUCAGGGACGAAAGCUAGGGGAGCGAAUGGG